UACGUAGGUGACCAGCGUUGUCCGGAUUUACUGGGCGUAAAGAGCGCGCAGGCGGUCGUUCAAGUCGAGUGUGAAAGCCCCCGGCUCAACUGGGGAGGGUCACUCGAUACUGAUCGACUCGAAGGCAGGAGAGGGAAGCGGAAUUCCCGGUGUAGUGGUGAAAUGCGUAGAUAUCGGGAGGAACACCAGUGGCGAAGGCGGCUUCCUGGCCCUGUACUGACGCUGAGGCGCGAUAGCGUGGGGAGCAAACGGG
Molecule: ribosomal RNA, 253 nt
Filed under: uncultured bacterium
Lineage: Bacteria
Description: partial 16S ribosomal RNA
Rfam family: Bacterial small subunit ribosomal RNA
Source: RNAcentral